AAUAAGAUGGCCGAGUAUUAUAGGCGGUAGAUUGUAAAUUUAUGCACGAGCAAUAUGCUCUCUUAUUG
This 68-nucleotide transfer RNA is filed under the name Blepharipoda occidentalis. RNAcentral's name for it is "tRNA-Tyr". Lineage: Eukaryota; Metazoa; Arthropoda; Malacostraca; Decapoda; Blepharipodidae. The record is from RNAcentral.